RNAcentral lists this ribosomal RNA (397 nucleotides) under uncultured bacterium. RNAcentral's name for it is "partial 16S ribosomal RNA". It matches the Rfam family "Bacterial small subunit ribosomal RNA", at positions 523 to 918 of the family's 1533-position model. The record is from RNAcentral.
AUACGUAGGGGGCGAGCGUUGUCCGGAAUGAUUGGGCGUAAAGGGCGCGUAGGCGGCUUUGCAAGUCAGUAGUGGAAGUCCAUUUUUCAAGGAUGGAAGUGCUACAGAAACUGCGGAGCUUGAGUGCAGGAGAGGUUAUCGGAAUUCCCGGUGUAGCGGUGAAAUGCGUAGAGAUCGGGAGGAACACCAGUGGCGAAGGCGGGUAACUGGACUGCAACUGACGCUGAGGCGCGAAAGUGUGGGGAGCAAACAGGAUUAGAUACCCUGGUAGUCCACGCCAUAAACGAUGAAUACUAGGUGUAGGGGGUAUCGACCCCCUCUGUGCCGACGUUAACACAUUAAGUAUUCCACCUGGGGAGUACGGCCGCAAGGCUGAAACUCAAAUGAAUUGACGGGG